UUCAGGAAAUAGUUUAUGCAAUCUACUUUUAUUGUAUUUGUCAUGUUUUGUUAGCGAAGUACUGAUAAUGUAAGUGUUUAUACAUCUUAUCUGUAUGCUUUACUCGAUGAUAUUUUUAUAGGAGUUUUCGAUAUAUCUUUAUCAACUGAGUUUGAAAUUAUCAGCUACCCUUCGAUUUUACGAAAGAAGAUUUCAUCAAGGUUUGAAGAUCAACAAUAGAGUAUUCACAUAUUCAUUAUGUGAAGAGAAAUUAAGAAUCUGUGCAUCAUUGAAGAUGAUCAAGAUCCUAUCAUAUGUCUUCUAUAAAGGAAUAUUGAUCGUCUCAUAUCAAUCUAUAACAACUUUAACCUACUUUAUUUCUUAUCUUCUUCGAUGUCAAUCUAUUUCAUUUUCAAUCUCCUACGGAUGAACCACCCUCAAUUUCGACUUUCAUCAUUGACACCAGACAAACUCAUGACCUGUUUUGUCUAGGAAUCUACUUUCUAUGUAUAUUUAUUGUCCGAUACAUUCUCGAAGACUACUUGCUUGACUAAAAAUGCCUAAGCUCGAAUGAUGGUAGCAAUGCGUUUUUAUUUAUGUAUUUUUUUAGCAAGUGUCCAACGAAUUCUGAAGGGCAAAUAUUUUCUAUAAUAAUAUGGCCUUUAAGGCUGUACAUCAUCUACGUUCAAAGCGUUUCGUUUUGACCGCGAAACUUAUGUCAACCAUCAGUGAAGGAAAUAAAUAUGAGAUUGGAUA
This is a long non-coding RNA of Vespula pensylvanica (western yellowjacket), 735 nucleotides long. RefSeq lists it as uncharacterized. The transcript has 4 exons. The record is from RefSeq and is a predicted model, not a curated record. NCBI's taxonomy places the organism in Eukaryota, Metazoa, Arthropoda, Insecta, Hymenoptera, Vespidae.